Molecule: long non-coding RNA, 442 nt
Filed under: Physcomitrium patens
Lineage: Eukaryota; Viridiplantae; Streptophyta; Bryopsida; Funariales; Funariaceae
Description: long non-coding RNA (PPAT_LNC003605)
Source: RNAcentral
UUGGUAGAGCCAGAGCUUUCAGCAGUGAUAUGCCAGAGUGCUGCCAUGAACAGCCGAAAGUAAAAAUCAAAAUAUGAAAUAUAGCUUCUCCCCCCAACCUCUCGGUCAACGACGUUCUAAUUCCCCUUUCAUCUCGCUCGCGGCGUCAUUCCCAAAGCAUCCAGAAUGUUUCUGGCUUCUACCAAAAACACAAAAGCUUCAGUUACUGGUGGCGAAAGUGGGUUUCAUAGGAGUGUGCAAACCAAAUUCUCCUAUCAAAAGCCUUCACAUGAUUCGGGUAAUGAAGCGAAAAUUCUCCUCAUGUGUGUCGGGGCUUUUCGGUUAUCCGCAGAGCAAAAGUUUCAAAAGCUGCUGAGACAGCUCAAAGCAUAUUUUUGUUCCCUCCGAAGCUCAUGCUUACAAGGUAUUCUGUUUGCAUUCUCAAGGCGUUUCACUACCUAUC